Molecule: long non-coding RNA, 2913 nt
Filed under: Sorghum bicolor (sorghum)
Lineage: Eukaryota; Viridiplantae; Streptophyta; Magnoliopsida; Poales; Poaceae
Description: long non-coding RNA (SBIC_LNC016948)
Source: RNAcentral
AUCCUGCCCUCAAAGCGCCUCCGCAACAAGGUGGCGGGGUUCACCACCCACCUGAUGCGCCGCAUCCAGCGCGGCCCCGUCCGCGGCAUCUCCCUCAAGCUGCAGGAGGAGGAGCGCGAGCGGCGCAUGGACUUCGUCCCGGAGAAGUCGGCGCUCGAGGUCGAGGAGAUCCGCGUCGACAAGGAGACCAUGGAGAUGCUCGCGGCCCUCGGCAUGGCCGACCUCCCCGGCGUCGAGCGCCAGCAAGAGGUCUCCAACGCCCCCGCCUACGGCCGCCCGCAGUACGGUGGUCCCCGCCGUGACCGCGUCUAGGCUUCACGCUGUUAUCGCCGUGGUUGCCUCUUGAUCUGCCAUUCGUAGUUACUAUGCUACUUUGUUAAACUUAUCUUUGGUUGCUUCUGAGGCGGUUAAGUUUUGAACUUGUGUUAUGCUAUAAAUUCUUAAGUGUUUGGGUCUGCGUGUGAUGGACAUGAGAUUUAUAUUCUCGCGCCAAUGAAGUCUUAAGAUAUUUUAUAAGUUACUAUGAGAUGUUCCUACAUUUUUGUUUGUUUGCUCGUUAUCGUGCAUGUGACAUAGGGAUAUCUGAUUUAGUAAAUUGCAUGCCUUUAGAUCUAUAUUUAAAUUGGUGUUGCUGGUUUGUUCAUUGUGUCCUAUGCAGAUUAAAUCUGUUCGAUAUUCAUUCCAUCGCUGUACAAUUCCAUGCUGCCUAGGUGUGUGGCUGUUAGCUAGGGCUGCUGUGAUCUGGGUUGAUGAAGUCUUAUCAGUCCAAUGAGAUUUAGUUACAGUGUUACACAUUUUCAAUUUAAUUAGUUCUUUUCUAGUGAACUGAAUUGGCUGGCCAUAUUUGUUAGCCUCUUUUGAACACAUGCAAUUGGGUUUGCUUUCUUUCAAGUAUUACCAUAACCUUUUCUUAUGGCAUAGCAUUUUCACUUUCAUAUCUGCCAUACGCUUGUCCUUCAUGUCGUCAGCACUGGUUUUUUCAGUCCUUCGUUUCUAGUACUUUCACUUUCAUCCAUAUUUGCCAUAAACGUUCUACAUGUUGUCAGCACUGUGGUCAUUUCAUUUCUUUGUUUCUAUAUAGGAAACAUAGCUUGCUUGAAUCUAAUUGGUUAAUUUUGUUUCAUUUAAGUAGUUUAAAAUAACUUGGGGUUAAAAUUCAUUGUUAAUGCUGAAAUCUUUCUAUGAUACAGAGGUAAAUAGUGAUAUGUUGGUACAGCAUUAAAGUGGAUUUUUUCUUGAAUUCAAAAAUACCAUGUUUGUUUGUAUGUCAUGCCAAUUGUACAUUGUUUGAUGAUGUUUGGUUUUGUAGAAUGUUGCUUCUAUUUUAUGAAUAAUAUUGUUCAACUUGUUGCUUUAAAUCCAUAAAUCUCAGCUUCAUUAGUUUCACAAGAUAUGCUUGUUCUGAACUGCUGGAGGUGCAAGCCUCAUAUUUUUGUCCAGCAAGCAAAGUGGUGCCUGUCUGAUUCUUUUUUACUUUAAUCUGUUACCGUUUGUUUUAUUUUUGCGGGCAGAGUUUGGUGUUUAUUUUUUGGGGGCAGAGUAGAGGAAUAAAGAUGAUCGCUGAUGAGCCGUGUGAGGCUGUAUGAAUUAUGGAAUUAAUAUAAACACAACCUGAUUAGCAUCAGGAAUCAUUUGCUUUUGCCAAGUUUGUUUUUUUGUAUGGUUCCUGUUGUUUGCCAUAGGUAAUAUUGCUCCCCUAAGUUAAACAUGUUGCAGAUCUGUGGUUUAACUUUUUUACAUGGUUGCUUCUGUUGUGUUGAGCAUUAAACUUACCAGUUAUGGUAAAAUUUAAAAUUCUUUAGUCCGUGAUGGACGCUGUUUUGAAAACUGAGUAUGAGAUGUUGGGACUUGCAAUUAUUCAUGUGUAUUAUUCUGACUGCUGAAAUGUGAAAGCUGCCUUUAUUGUUGACCGCUGAAAUGUGGUGUAACGGUUAGCGAUUUCUGUACAAUGGUUGGCCGUGGUGCCGCGGUAUUUUGUCUCGACCUACAAAUUCGUAUACAGCUCUACACAUACGUUUAUAGGCGAUUUAGAUUUGUUUCACUCUAAUCUUACGCAAGCGUUCAUUUUUUCUUGAUUUUCGGCCUCGGGCCAACAUGGAAAGGCGAGUAGAAGACUUGCAAAGUGACAGCCGGUGUAUCCUGCGUGCUGAUCUUGCACAGGAAAGUGCCCCAAAUAUUGUUUUCCAUCCGUCAUUUGGGCUUUGUAGACCCAUAUUUCGUCUUGCAUUUUAAGGAAAUGACUCGAAACAGUAGAUUAUAAAUCGCUGUAGACAAGAUAUAAUCAAAUUUUAAUCAUCGACUAGGAUAAGACUAUUUCUGAAACGGUGAAGAUUACAAAGGCGUGAGGCAACUCAACUGAUGUUGCAUCAGGACACAACUCUACAAGGCCGUGGAUCCGUGUAUAUGCCAGAAUGAUUGGUAUGGUGCGGGUGCCAUCCGGCUCCACUAGCCUUGCUGGCCCUAAAAAUUUUGGUUCCGAGGAGCCGACGACUCCAUGUUCCAGGUCAACUCCGGUUCUCCGCCUCAGAGGCAGCUUGCCCGCCCACCUUCGUUAGCCGGCCGCUGGGGCGCCGGCGCUAGCAUCGCCGCAUGCCGGCAGCCGGCAGGUUUGACCAGUGACUAGUGCGUGUCCUUCCUCUAGCCUCUUUAUCUCAGGUUUCAUUCCUCGCUUUGGUCUGGUGCAUCUUAUGCUAAGGCCUCGUUUAGUUCACCUCAAAAACAAAAAAAUAAAAAUUUUUAAGAUUUUUUGUUACAUUAAAUCUUGCAGCAUAUGCAUGGAGCAUUAAAUAUAGAUUAAAAUAAAAAUUAAUUGUACAGUUUGUCUGUAAAUCGUAAGACGAAUCUUUUAAGCCUAGUUACUCUAUGGUUGAACAAUGUUUGUCAAAUAAAAACGAAAGUGCUACAGUAGCCCAA